GACGAACGCUGGCGGCGUGCCUAAUACAUGCAAGUUGAGCGCUGAAGGUUGGUACUUGUACCAACUGGAUGAGCAGCGAACGGGUGAGUAACGCGUGGGGAAUCUGCCUUUGAGCGGGGGACAACAUUUGGAAACGACUGCUAAUACCGCAUAAAAACUUUAACCACAAGUUUUAAGUUUGAAAGAUGCAAUUGCAUCACUCAAAGAUGAACCCGCGUUGUAUUAGCUAGUUGGUGAGGUAAAGGCCCACCAAGGCGAUGAUACAUAGCCGACCUGAGAGGGUGAUCGGCCAAAUUGGGACUGAGACACGGCCCAAACUCCCACGGGAGGCAGCAGGAGGGAAAUAUCGGAAAUGGACGAAAGGCUGACCGAGCAACGACGCGUGAGUGAAGAAGGUUUUCGGAUCGGAAAACUCUGUUGGUAGAGAAGAAAGUUGGUGAGAGUGGAAAGCUCAUCAAGUGACGGUAACUACACAGAAAGGGACGGCUAACUACGUG
RNAcentral lists this ribosomal RNA (497 nucleotides) under uncultured bacterium. RNAcentral describes it as "partial 16S ribosomal RNA". It matches the Rfam family "Bacterial small subunit ribosomal RNA", at positions 28 to 507 of the family's 1533-position model. The record is from RNAcentral.